GCCGCGUUGGCGUAGUGGUAGCGCGUCUCACUUGUAUCCUUCGUUAAAAUACAUGAGAAGGUCACUCGUUCAAUCCGGGUACGUGGCA
Molecule: transfer RNA, 88 nt
Filed under: Laccaria bicolor S238N-H82
Lineage: Eukaryota; Fungi; Basidiomycota; Agaricomycetes; Agaricales; Hydnangiaceae
Rfam family: tRNA
About the family: Transfer RNA (tRNA) molecules are approximately 80 nucleotides in length.
Source: Rfam by way of RNAcentral